AAGCCGGCUUCGGCCGGGGAUUAGKGGCGAACGGGUGAGUAACACGUGGGCAAUCUGCCCUGCACUCUGGGACAAGCCCUGGAAACGGGGUCUAAUACCGGAUACGACCGUUUGAGGCAUCUCAUGGCGGUGGAAAGCUCCGGCGGUGCAGGAUGAGCCCGCGGCCUAUCAGCUUGUUGGUGAGGUAACGGCUCACCAAGGCGACGACGGGUAGCCGGCCUGAGAGGGCGACCGGCCACACUGGGACUGAGACACGGCCCAGACUCCUACGGGAGGCAGCAGUGGGGAAUAUUGCACAAUGGGCGCAAGCUGAUGCAGCGACGCCGCGUGAGGGAUGACGGCCUUCGGGUUGUAAACCUCUUUCAGCAGGGAAGAAGCGUAAGUGACGGUACCUGCAGAAGAAGCGCCGGCUAACUACGUGCCAGCAGCCGCGGUAAUACGUAGGGCGCAAGGUUGUCCGGAAUUAUUGGGCGUAAAGAGCUCGUAGGCGGCUUGUCGCGUCGGGUGUGAAAGCCCGGGGCUUAACCCCGGGUCUGCAUUCGAUACGGGCAGGCUAGAGUGUGGUAGGGGAGAUCGGAAUUCCUGGUGUAGCGGUGAAAUGCGCAGAUAUCAGGAGGAACACCGGUGGCGAAGGCGGAUCUCUGGGCCAUUACUGAC
RNAcentral lists this ribosomal RNA (657 nucleotides) under Streptomyces sp. Bt 45. Its description in RNAcentral is "bacterial SSU rRNA". It matches the Rfam family "Bacterial small subunit ribosomal RNA", at positions 71 to 744 of the family's 1533-position model. The record is from RNAcentral. Lineage: Bacteria; Bacillati; Actinomycetota; Actinomycetes; Kitasatosporales; Streptomycetaceae.